CCUACGGGGGGCAGCAGUGAGGAAUAUUGGUCAAUGGACGAGAGUCUGAACCAGCCAAGUAGCGUGAAGGAUGACUGCCCUAUGGGUUGUAAACUUCUUUUAUAUGGGAAUAAAAUGUUCCACGUGUGGGAUUUUGUAUGUACCAUAUGAAUAAGGAUCGGCUAACUCCGUGCCAGCAGCCGCGGUAAUACGGAGGAUCCGAGCGUUAUUCGGAUUUAUUGGGUUUAAAGGGAGCGUAGGUGGAUUGUUAAGUCAGUUGUGAAAGUUUGCGGCUCAACCGUAAAAUUGCAGUUGAAACUGGCAGUCUUGAGUACAGUAGAGGUGGGCGGAAUUCGUGGUGUAGCGGUGAAAUGCUUAGAUAUCACGAAGAACUCCGAUUGCGAAGGCAGUUCACUGGACUGCAACUGACACUGAGGCUCGAAAGUGUGGGUAUCAAACAGGAUUAGAUACCCGGGUAGUC
Molecule: ribosomal RNA, 460 nt
Filed under: uncultured bacterium
Lineage: Bacteria
Description: partial 16S ribosomal RNA
Rfam family: Bacterial small subunit ribosomal RNA
Source: RNAcentral